RNAcentral lists this ribosomal RNA (490 nucleotides) under uncultured bacterium. Its description in RNAcentral is "partial 16S ribosomal RNA". It matches the Rfam family "Bacterial small subunit ribosomal RNA", at positions 30 to 507 of the family's 1533-position model. The record is from RNAcentral.
AUUGAACGCUGGCGGCAUGCCUCACACAUGCAAGUCGAACGGCAGCAUGAUCUAGCUUGCUAGAUUGAUGGCGAGUGGCGAACGGGUGAGUAAUACAUCGGAACGUGCCCUGUAGUGGGGGAUAACUAGUCGAAAGAUUAGCUAAUACCGCAUACGACCUGAGGGUGAAAGUGGGGGACCGCAAGGCCUCAUGCUAUAGGAGCGGCCGAUGUCUGAUUAGCUAGUUGGUGAGGUAAAGGCUCACCAAGGCGACGAUCAGUAGCUGGUCUGAGAGGACGAUCAGCCACACUGGGACUGAGACACGGCCCAGACUCCUACGGGAGGCAGCAGUGGGGAAUUUUGGACAAUGGGCGAAAGCCUGAUCCAGCAAUGCCGCGUGUGUGAAGAAGGCCUUCGGGUUGUAAAGCACUUUUGUCCGGAAAGAAAUGGCUCUGGUUAAUACCUGGGGUCGAUGACGGUACCGGAAGAAUAAGGACCGGCUAACUACGUG